Molecule: long non-coding RNA, 864 nt
Organism: Alnus glutinosa
Lineage: Eukaryota; Viridiplantae; Streptophyta; Magnoliopsida; Fagales; Betulaceae
Exons: 3
Source: RefSeq, a predicted model, not a curated record
AGACCAUUUCCUUUUUUCUUCUUCUCCUUCUUUUUCCCCCCUCCCCUGCGUCACCCAGACCUUCCAUUUUCUUUCUUUCGUCUCCUUCUUUUUCCCCGCUACCCUGCGUCACCUAGACCUCUCCAUCGUCGGAACCAGAGCGUUUUGGGAGAUUGUGAAAGGCCUCUGCAAUCCAUCAGAUCUGCUUCUUCUUCUUCUUCUUCUUCUGCUUAUUUCUCUUGAGCCACUGCAUCAGAUCGGCUUUUGUUUUUCUUCCACUACAUCUGAAAAUGGGAACGACUGCGAAGUCUACGAGUCGGGCGAGCCGAGUGCUCAAUAAGACACUCGACUCGUCAAAAAACCGAGCUCGAGCUCGAGCCUGGACAUGAUUUUACUCUUAGUGAGCCGAGCCGAGUUCCAUAUUUAAUACCCGUCACGAGCUCGAGCCGAGCUCGAGCUCAUAAACUUUCUUAACGAGCCGAGCUUGGACAACUACUACUCGCCCGAGCUCGGCUCGUAUACAUGGCUAAAGACAUGCCAAAGAUCACUAGUAGAUGAACUAGACACAAGUGAAGAUCCGUUGCUUUUUUCAACUGAUGUGCAGCAUGACCAAGUGAUUGAAACACAAAAUAGUGUACUUACACAGACUUUCGGGAAUUCACAGUCAUCAUGUAUUUUGGAAGGAGAUUUUAUAUACUUGUCGUAAGUGACUUGUUUCUUGCCCUGGAUAAAGAUAUGAAUGGAACAUUGAGCAAGCAGGAGCUUCAACACCAGUUUCUACAUUAUUUUCCUACUUUUUCUAUGUAAAUUUGGAUUUCACUUUCUGUAGUAAAUUAUCUUAUGGAUAGCUCAGUUUUUCGCGGACACUUGAGUUACUCCUCUAUG